UAAGAGGAAGUAAAAGUCGUAACAAGGUCUCCGUUGGUGAACCAGCGGAGGGAUCAUUACCGAGUUUACAACUCCCAAACCCAUGUGAACAUACCUUUACGUUGCUUCGGCGGAGCCGCCCCGGCGCCCGGAACCUCUUCGGUUUCGCGGCCCGGAACCAGGCGCCCGCCGGAGGCCACAAACUCUUUUGUUUUUACAGUUUCUUCUGAGUGUGCCGCAAGGCAAAAUACAAAUGAAUCAAAACUUUCAACAACGGAUCUCUUGGUUCUGGCAUCGAUGAAGAACGCAGCGAAAUGCGAUAAGUAAUGUGAAUUGCAGAAUUCAGUGAAUCAUCGAAUCUUUGAACGCACAUUGCGCCCGCCAGAAUUCUGGCGGGCAUGCCUGUUCGAGCGUCAUUUCAACCCUCGAGCUCCCCUCUUUUUGGGAGAGCCCGGCGUUGGGGACCCGGCGCUAACACCGCCGGCCCCGAAAUGGAGUGGCGGCCCGUCCGCGGCGACCUCUGCGUAGUAAUAUCCACUCGCACCGGGACCCGGGCGCGGCCACGCCGUUAAACACCCCACCUUCCGAAUGUUGACCUCGAAUCAGGUAGGAAUACCCGCUGAACUUAAGCAUAUCAAUUAA
This 621-nucleotide ribosomal RNA is filed under the name Parengyodontium album. RNAcentral describes it as "eukaryotic LSU rRNA". The stretch from base 242 to 395 matches the Rfam family "5.8S ribosomal RNA". Lineage: Eukaryota; Fungi; Ascomycota; Sordariomycetes; Hypocreales; Cordycipitaceae. The record is from RNAcentral.